GUAACAGGCAUACCCGAAUAUCCACAGGUUUGCUUCUGUAGACUCAUGCUACAAUUCCACUACAUUUGGAUUUUAUCGCCAUUGCUCACAGAAACUUUACGGGUCCCCUUUUACAGCAGCAUCUGAGAGGUCACCAUAUCAUACAUAUCCAAAAAGCUCCAAUGAAGAGACAGAAAUGAUAAAGUAAGUUUACAGAUUAAUUAUUCUCAGCUAAACGGGUAUAAUCAGUGAUGAUCAAUCAAUUUAUCAGCAAUUUUGUAAAUGCUUCUUUCUUCUAUUCGUGACAUUUUAUCAUAGCAGUUAAAUUCCUUUUCAUAUGCUAUAAAAUGGAAUCUAAAAGGGAGGACUAACCUGAUAACAAAUUGGGACAGGUCUCCAUUCACUAGAGGUAGAAGUUCACUUAACAAAUAUGAGCCUUACACACCAGAGAUGGAUAUAUCAUUUGUGAGCAGUGGAAGGUCAAACAGCA
RNAcentral lists this long non-coding RNA (469 nucleotides) under Ricinus communis (castor bean). Its description in RNAcentral is "long non-coding RNA (RCOM_LNC001300)". The record is from RNAcentral. Lineage: Eukaryota; Viridiplantae; Streptophyta; Magnoliopsida; Malpighiales; Euphorbiaceae.